Molecule: ribosomal RNA, 253 nt
Filed under: uncultured bacterium
Lineage: Bacteria
Description: partial 16S ribosomal RNA
Rfam family: Bacterial small subunit ribosomal RNA
Source: RNAcentral
GACAGAGGAUGCAAGCGUUAUCCGGAAUUAUUGGGCGUAAAGCGUCUGUAGGUGGCUUUUUAAGUCUGCCGUCAAAUCCCAGGGCUUAACCCUGGACAGGCGGUGGAAACUACCAAGCUGGAGUACGGUAGGGGCAGGGGGAAUUUACGGUGGAGCGGUGAAAUGCGUAGAGAUCGGAAAGAACACCAACGGCGAAAGCACUCUGCUGGGCCGACACUGACACUGAGAGACGAAAGCUAGGGGAGCGAAUGGG